This 429-nucleotide ribosomal RNA is filed under the name uncultured bacterium. RNAcentral's name for it is "bacterial SSU rRNA". It matches the Rfam family "Bacterial small subunit ribosomal RNA", at positions 355 to 776 of the family's 1533-position model. The record is from RNAcentral.
UGGGGAAUCUUGCACAAUGGGGGAAACCCUGAUCCAGCAAUACCGCGUGUGUGAAGAAGGCCCGAGGGUUGUAAAGCACUUUCAAUUGUGAAGAAAAGUUAACGGUUAAUAACCGUUAACCUUGACGUUAACUUUAGAAGAAGCACCGGCUGACUCCGUGCCAGCAGCCGCGGUAAUACGGAGGGUGCAAGCGUUAAUCGGAAUUACUGGGCGUAAAGCGUGCGUAGGCGGUUUAUCAAGUCAGAUGUGAAAUCCCCGGGCUUAACCUGGGAACUGCAUUUGAAACUGGUCAACUAGAGUAUGGUAGAGGAAAGUGGAAUUUCUGGUGUAGCGGUGAAAUGCGUAGAUAUCAGAAGGAACAUCAAUGGCGAAGGCAGCUUUCUGGCCCAAUACUGACGCUGAGGUACGAAAGCGUGGGUAGCAAACAGG